Molecule: ribosomal RNA, 460 nt
Filed under: uncultured bacterium
Lineage: Bacteria
Description: partial 16S ribosomal RNA
Rfam family: Bacterial small subunit ribosomal RNA
Source: RNAcentral
CCUACGGGUGGCAGCAGUGAGGAAUAUUGGUCAAUGGGCGCGAGCCUGAACCAGCCAAGUAGCGUGAAGGAUGACUGCCCUACGGGUUGUAAACUUCUUUUAUAAAGGAAUAAAGUGAGGCACGUUUGCCUUUUUGUAUGUACUUUAUGAAUAAGGAUCGGCUAACUCCGUGCCAUCAGCCGCGGUAAUACGGAGGAUCCGAGCGUUAUCCGGAUUUAUUGGGUUUAAAGGGAGCGUAGAUGGGUUGUUAAGUCAGUUGUGAAAGUUUGCGGCUCAACCGUAAAAUUGCACUUGAUACUGGCAGUCUUGAGUACAGUUGAGGUAGGCGGAAUUCGUGGUGUAGCGGUGAAAUGCUUAGAUAUCACGAAGAACUCCGAUUGCGAAGGCAGCUUACUAAACUGCCACUGACAUUGAUGCUCGAAAGUGUGGGUAUCAAACAGGAUUAGAUACCCCAGUAGUC